CAUCAAUGUACUCCCUAUAACACUAUUAGGUGUGUUUAAAGGAACGAAACAUAAAAUCUGUCUUGUUUCUGGCAGAUUCUCACUUGCCACGCUUCUUGAGUUGAGCAUUUCACUUAGUGUGCACAGUUGAGAUAUAUAGUUACACAAAAAUUCUAAUUAAAGUCUUCAAAUACAUAAAUUAAAUCAGCACAUAUUUGUUCUUUGUAGAUUCCCUGCUGGGAUAAAAUCAGUCAGGAUUAUUCACUAAACUUCUUUCAUAAAAUACUUUAUUAUAAAUGAACAGUCAAUUAACCCAUUCAAUACCCGGAUUGAGUAAAAAAAUAUUAGAUUUUUCAUGUAUUUUUCAGUAUGAAAUAUAGUCCAUAAAGUCUCACUCACCAUCAUGUAUACUCUAUUUAUGAUUACAUGCCUGUAGAACACAUUUCUCUACCAGUAGUGUUAUAAUGCUAUAUAAUGUCUGCUCACCUCCUGCUUUAAAAUAGAAAAAGAGGUUUUAAUGGGUCAUAUUAUUCCUCCAGUCGUUGAGGGUGAGUGUGGAUAGACUCUACCAUUUCACUAUUGGCAUUACAUUAGCGUUCCAGAGACAGACAAAGAUUGCUAUAGCAGUUUUAAAUAGAAAUAUAUGAAUUAUGUCUAUUUGUAUGGGCCAGAC
Non-coding RNA from Pelobates cultripes (western spadefoot toad), 652 nucleotides. NCBI's taxonomy places the organism in Eukaryota, Metazoa, Chordata, Amphibia, Anura, Pelobatidae. The record is from the annotation of a GenBank genome assembly.